UUAGUUGCCAGCAUUCAGUUGGGCACUCUAAGGUGACUGCCGGCUAAAAGUCGGAGGAAGGUGGGGAUGACGUCAAAUCAUCAUGCCCUUAUGACCUGGGCUACACACGUGCUACAAUGGGCGGUACAAAGGGUCGCGAACCCGCGAGGGGGAGCCAAUCCCAAAAAGACCGCUCUCAGUUCGGAUUGCAGGCUGCAACUCGCCUGCAUGAAGCCGGAAUCGCUAGUAAUCGCGGAUCAGCAUGCCGCGGUGAAUACGUUCCCGGGCCUU
This 270-nucleotide ribosomal RNA is filed under the name uncultured Anoxybacillus sp. RNAcentral describes it as "partial 16S ribosomal RNA". It matches the Rfam family "Bacterial small subunit ribosomal RNA", at positions 1111 to 1382 of the family's 1533-position model. The record is from RNAcentral. Lineage: Bacteria; Bacillati; Bacillota; Bacilli; Caryophanales; Anoxybacillaceae.